UGAGGAGGUGAAGGCAUCUGGAGAGGUGAAGGCAUCUGGGGAGGUGAAGGGGUAGCAUCUGGAGGUGAAGGCAUCUAGGGAGGUGAAGGGGUAGCAUCUGGAGAGGUGAAGGGGUAGCAUCUGGAGAGGUGAAGGCAUCUGGGGAGGUGAAGGCAUCUGUGGAGGUGAAGGCAUCUGGAGAGGUGAAGGCAUCUGGGGAGGUGAAGGCAUCUGGGGAGGUGAAGGCAUCUGGGGAGGUGAAGGCAUCUUGGGAGGUGAAGGGGUAGCAUCUGGAGAGGUGAAGGCAUCUGGGGAGGUGAAGGGGUAGCAUCUGGAGAGGUGAAGGGGUAGCAUCUGGAGAGGUGAAGGCAUCUGGGGAG
Molecule: long non-coding RNA, 359 nt
Organism: Haliotis rufescens (red abalone)
Lineage: Eukaryota; Metazoa; Mollusca; Gastropoda; Lepetellida; Haliotidae
Exons: 3
Source: RefSeq, a predicted model, not a curated record